UGUUUGCAUUUGGAAAAAGGUUCUCGAUCCUAUAUUUAGGCGCUCGGGAUUAAAAGGGAAUUCGGUUCAAUACCGAAGCUGUCCCCGCAACUGUAACCCCAUCCGCUUCGAUAAACAUCGGUAGUGGAAAGCAAUUUACCCCCUCCAAAUGCCAUUGUCCCGAGAGAUCGGGAUGAGAAGGCCGGUAAAUUCAGGGAAGCCAGGAGACCUGCCCGUUUCUGACAAAUUCA
This 230-nucleotide non-coding RNA is filed under the name Rhodonellum psychrophilum. RNAcentral also lists the same sequence under 1 other name. The record is from RNAcentral. Lineage: Bacteria; Pseudomonadati; Bacteroidota; Cytophagia; Cytophagales; Cytophagaceae.